Molecule: transfer RNA, 74 nt
Filed under: Marmota monax (woodchuck)
Lineage: Eukaryota; Metazoa; Chordata; Mammalia; Rodentia; Sciuridae
Description: tRNA.Met
Source: RNAcentral
GUGGGGGUUAUGGCUCAGUGGUAGAGUACUUGCCUCAUACAUGCAAGGCCGUGAGUUUGAUCCUCAGCACCACA